This is a non-coding RNA of Miniopterus natalensis, 7222 nucleotides long. NCBI's taxonomy places the organism in Eukaryota, Metazoa, Chordata, Mammalia, Chiroptera, Miniopteridae. The record is from RefSeq and is a predicted model, not a curated record.
GAGAGGAGGGAGGAGAAACUUUGCCUCUUGUUGUUUUAGCCCCUUAAGUGCCGGGAACUCUGUUGGGAGGAAAAAUGUCCUUCUUCAAUUUCCGUAAGAUCUUCAAGUUGGGGAGCGAGAAGAAGAAGAAGCAGUACGAGCAUGUGAAGAGGGACCUGAACCCCGAGGAGUUUUGGGAAAUUAUUGGAGAAUUGGGCGACGGAGCCUUUGGGAAAGUGUACAAGGCCCAGAAUAAAGAGACCAAUGUUUUAGCUGCUGCAAAGGUGAUUGACACCAAAUCUGAAGAAGAACUUGAAGAUUACAUGGUUGAAAUUGAUAUUUUAGCAUCUUGUGAUCACCCAAAUAUAGUCAAGCUUCUAGAUGCCUUCUAUUAUGAGAACAAUCUUUGGAUCCUCAUUGAAUUUUGUGCAGGUGGAGCAGUGGAUGCUGUGAUGCUUGAACUUGAGAGACCAUUAACUGAAUCCCAAAUACAAGUAGUUUGUAAACAGACCUUAGAGGCGUUGAACUACUUACAUGAUAAUAAAAUCAUCCACAGAGAUCUAAAGGCUGGCAACAUUCUUUUCACCCUAGAUGGAGAUAUUAAGUUGGCCGAUUUUGGAGUAUCAGCUAAAAACACAAGGACAAUUCAAAGAAGAGAUUCCUUUAUUGGCACACCAUAUUGGAUGGCUCCUGAGGUAGUCAUGUGUGAAACGUCGAAGGACAGACCCUAUGACUACAAAGCUGAUGUUUGGUCCCUGGGUAUCACUUUAAUAGAAAUGGCUGAGAUAGAACCACCUCAUCAUGAAUUAAAUCCAAUGCGAGUGCUGCUAAAAAUAGCAAAAUCUGAGCCCCCUACAUUAGCACAGCCAUCAAGAUGGUCUUCAAAUUUUAAGGACUUUCUAAAGAAAUGCUUGGAAAAAAAUGUGGAUUCCAGGUGGACAACAUCUCAACUGCUGCAGCACCCCUUUGUUACUGUGGAUUCCAACAAACCAAUCCGAGAGUUGAUUGCAGAGGCGAAGGCGGAGGUAACAGAAGAAGUGGAAGACGGCAAAGAGGAGGAUGACGACGAAGAGGCAGAGAGUUCCCUGCCAAUACCUGCAAGUAAGCGUGCCUCCUCUGACCUUAGCAUUGCCAGUUCUGAAGAAGAUAAACUUUCACAAAAUGCUUGCGUUUUGGAAUCUGUCUCAGAAAAAACAGAACGUAAUACUCCUGAAGAUAAGUUUAACAGCAGAGUUCUUAACGAAAAGCCCAUUACUAAUGAGCCUGAAAAAGCUGUGGAGGGUAUUGAUGAACAUAUUAAUGAUACUCCUUUAGAAGCUAUGGCUGAGCUCCACAAUGGAACAGUAAUAGUCAAGGAAAGUGGGAGAGAGGAGAAGAGACCCAAGCUUGAAAAUCUGCCUGAUACAAAAGACCAAGAAACAGUAGACAUGAGUUCAGUCAGUGAAGGAAAAGAGAAUAAUAUGACUUUAGAAACAAAUAUUGAACAGAAUCUGAAACCUGAGGAAGAAAGGGUUCAGGAAAACCAACAGAUAUUUGAAAAUAAGGUUAUAAAAUCUGAAGAAGAAAUUAAAGAUACUGUGAUUCAAACAAUGGAUUUAGUUUCUCAGGAGACUGGAGAAAAAGAGGCAGAUAUUCAGGCAGUGGACAACGAAGUUGAGCUUACAAAGGAAGACACCCAAGAGAAUUUGGGAAAAGAUGAGAAAACUCAAAAAGAUGUGAUCAGUGAUACAAGUAAUGCAAUAGGAGCAAAUGAGGCUGUGGAUGUUGCUCAUAAGGCAGCUGAAAACAAUGCUAAGGAUGCUCAGAGCAGUGAUGGGAAAGAAAUGGUUGAAGCAGGCCAGAAAUUAGCAAGUAAACCCACAAAGGAUCCUGAGGUUGGUGGUACUGAGGAAGUUUCUAUUAGAGAAAUAGUUGAACCUGAUGAGAUAGAUCAAAAAUCUGUACAAGGUAAAGGUGAGAAACAGUUAAUCAGCAGUUCCGAGAACAUAGUGGAGACCAGUGAGGAACCCAGGACAAAUGAAGUUGAAAUUACUGAGUCAAGGAGCACUGAAGAAAUAGAGGUCAGAAGUGCAGUGAUUCAUACUGACCAAGAGGCUUCAGGAACUGAAAUGCAGGAUGCUCAUGAAGCCUCUACUCAGACAGAUAUAGAGCAAAAAGAGAUUCCAUGUGAAGUGCCAAUUAAAACAGAACCUGAAGUUACUGCCGCUUCACGGCCCAGUCAACCUCAGCCUGUUCCAAUACCUAGUAUUAAUGUCAACUCUGAAGAUGCAGAAAACAAAGGGGAAAUAGGUGUUUUAUCAAAAACUGAAACCAUGUUGCUACCAGAAUCUGAGACUCAAAAGGAAAAUGAUACUGAUUCAGGCACAGGUUCCACUGCUGAUAAUAGCAGCAUUGACUUGAAUUUAUCCAUCUCUAGCUUCCUAAGCAAAAGUAAGGACAGUGGAUCAAUAUCUUUACAAGAAACAAGAAGACAAAAGAAAACAUUGAAGAAAACACGCAAAUUUGUUGUUGAUGGUGUGGAAGUGAGUGUAACGACAUCAAAGAUAGUUACAGACAGUGAUUCCAAAACUGAAGAAUUGAGGUUUCUUAGACGUCAGGAACUCCGGGAAUUAAGAUUUCUUCAAAAAGAAGAGCAGAGAGCCCAACAGCAGCUCAAUAGCAAACUGCAGCAGCAACGAGAACAAAUUUUCCGGCGCUUUGAGCAAGAAAUGAUGAGCAAAAAGCGACAAUAUGACCAAGAAAUUGAGAAUCUAGAAAAACAGCAGAAACAGACUAUUGAACGUCUAGAACAAGAACACACAAAUCGCUUGCGAGAUGAAGCCAAGCGCAUUAAAGGAGAACAAGAGAGAGAGUUCUCCAAAUUUCAGAGUAUGUUGAAGAACCGGAAGAAGGAGGUUAUAAAUGAAGUGGAGAGAGCACCCAAAGAGCUGAGAAAAGAGCUCAUGAAACGCAGGAAAGAGGAGCUUGCACAAAUCCAGCAUGCUCAGGAACAAGAGUUUGUUCAGAAGCAACAGCAGGAAUUAGAUGGCUCUCUGAAAAAGAUCAUCCAGCAGCAGAAGGCAGAGUUAGCCAAUAUUGAACGAGAGUGCCUGAACAACAAGCAGCAGCUCAUGAGAGCUCGAGAAGCUGCAAUUUGGGAGCUUGAAGAACGACACUUACAAGAAAAGCACCAGCUGCUCAAACAGCAACUUAAAGAUCAGUAUUUCAUGCAAAGACAUCAGUUACUUAAGCGCCAUGAGAAGGAAACGGAACAAAUGCAGCGUUACAAUCAACGACUUAUUGAGGAAUUGAAAAACAGACAGACUCAAGAAAGAGCAAGACUACCUAAGAUUCAGCGCAGUGAAGCCAAGACUCGAAUGGCCAUGUUUAAGAAAAGUUUGAGAAUUAACUCCACAGCCACACCAGAUCAGGACCGUGAAAAAAUUAAACAGUUUGCUGCUCAGGAAGAAAAGAGGCAGAAAAAUGAGAGAAUGGCUCAGCAUCAAAAACAUGAAAAUCAAAUGCGGGAUCUUCAGUUGCAGUGUGAAGCCAACGUCCGAGAGCUGCAUCAGCUGCAGAAUGAAAAAUGCCACCUUUUGGUUGAGCAUGAGACUCAGAAACUAAAGGAGUUAGAUGAGGAACACAGCCAGGAAUUAAAAGAAUGGAGAGAGAAACUGAGACCUAGGAAAAAGACACUGGAAGAAGAAUUUGCCAGGAAACUGCAGGAACAGGAAGUGUUCUUUAAAAUGACCGGGGAGUCUGAAUGCCUUAACCCGUCAGCACAGAGCCGAAUUUCCAAAUUCUAUCCUAUUCCAAGCUUGCAUUCCACUGGCUCGUGACCCUGGGAAGCGUUCUGUGGUCUGGUUUGGCUUUUAAAAUAUGUCAUUUUAUUCUCUCCAUCUGCCACAGUCUGCGGUAGAGUGCACGAAGACAAUCACCUGCCUCACCUCCUAGGUGUUUUUUUGUCUGUCUUGUUUGUUUAGCAGAGAUGAAGGGAAAGGAACUAACAGAUGCUGGGCCAUGUUGGCGUAGCAGCAUCCUGCAGUAAUUCCCUAAGGUAAUUCUGUAUAUUAAUCUUAAAAAUUGUGUUCUUUAGACACUGUUACCUGAAAAACUCUUAGAGAUAUAAUGUUUAAACUUAUUUAACACAAAAACCUGUUAUGUCACUUAGUAUUGGCAAAUAUCUUUUUUCUCAAUGAGGCCUGAAUUCUAUAGUUGAAGCUCUGCUGUAGAGAGUUGCAAUAAUUUUCUUUUGGUAGAUCAGCUGUCAUGAAAAAGCUAUGAGUUGCUCAAAAUAGAAUACCGAUUCAUUAAAUAAAUCAAUUUUAUCUUUAAAUAUUUAAAAGAGAAAAAUUAUUUCAGUAAUCUAAAAUAAUUACCUGUUUAGGCAUGAGCUAACAAUCAAGGGUGCUAAUUUUAUUAAGAUAGUGCCUAAAACACUAAAUUUCAAUUGAAUCUAAAAUAGGAUUUUCUUCUUUGAUUCAACAGGGACGAAACAUCCUUAGUAUUAAGCAUUAUUGUUUUUUAAAUCUUGCUUCUAUUACCACUUGAUAGAAUUUUCAUCCUAAAGCAUGUUAUACAAAGUUGGAAACAUGAAAAAAAAAAAGAUAGCUUUUAGAUAGCCAAGUUGGAAAUGUAAAACUCACCAAAUUAAAAAAAAUAACAUGGACUUAGUUUUCCCAGCUUAAUUUUUUAAAUAAUACAUGAGCUAGUUAAAUGACAUCUUCCAUCUUAGCAAAUUCUGUUCAUUGAAAACUCUAUCAGAGGCCUGCUGGCUUUGAGUUAUAUUUAUAAAUGUAUUUUUUUGAAAUUGAUUUUAAAAGAGGCAUUUAUUCAGAAUACUUUAAAAACAAUUUAAGUAAAAUAUUUAGGUAAAUGUUGGAAAUGACGUAGUUGUUUUGAAAUAAAGUCAUUUAUAUUUUGGUUUUAUUUUGUUCCAUGUUUAAAUUAUUUACUUUGAGUGGGAAAAGCCUGAAACCUUUAUCAUAUGGUUGCUGAUAUGUGUAAUUAUUAAUGAAAUGCUCACUCUUAGUCCCUCUUGAGGCUUAGAAUUUCAAGCACGUGUCAGGUCAAACAGUAUUAUGGACUGUACUGUGGUGUGUGAGACAGUAAGUGAUGCUUGCUGCCUGCCAUUUGCAACCUUUUUUAAGAGUACUAGGUACCAAAUUAUACACGUUUCGGUUUUUGUUAUAUUACAUUUCAUGCUGGUGAAAAUUUAAAUAUAACUGUGGGAACACUUGGAACACUUAAUUCAUAUUAAGAAAAUGUAAAUAUCUGUAGCACUUUCUUGCAGUUAAUUUGAAAACGUUGAAUGCUGAACCUUGUCAGUGGUUUAGAUGAUUUAAAUGCAUGUGUAAUUUUCUUUUUGUAAUUGUUUUGACAAGCAUAAUUUACUUGGACAACUUUGUAGGUAGCCUUAACUUCUGGCCAAGUUUGUUUUUUAUAUAAAUAUAUACAUAUAUAUAUAUACACUCACACGCAUAUAUUAUGUAUGGUUGUAAGUUCAUACACCUGUCACAUGAAUGUGUUACUGUAUACAAAACUCCUUCAAUGCUUUAUUCUCAAAUGCUGGGUUGAAAAAUGUUUUGAAAGCCUUUUAAAAUAUAAAUCUUUAUAAAGUAAUAUUCAGGAUGAUGGAAAUUGAUUAUGUUAUGAUAAAAAUGGCAGUAUAAAGUUCCUCAGUGUAUUUAAUGAUUUAUUUGAAGAGGGAAAGAGGAGGAAGGUUCUCAGACCACUUUCUCCUUUUGAAAUUUCCAGUAUCAUUUAAAUUAUAUCCUGUGUGCUUAAUAGUCUGCGGCACAUAAUCCCUUUGGCCUGUGUAUUUGGUUCUGUUUGUCUCUUUCAAGUUGACACUCAGAGUAUUGAGUAAAGGAGAGUGACUCGGAGUAGAAUGAUUGACAUUCUGGUCAGUUUAUUUGCAACUGUCGCAUCUGCCCUUUGGGUUCAGUAUUUAUUAUGCUCGAGUCUUCUUUCAAAAAUGACCGUAUUGAUGUGGGCCCAGGACUACAAAAUGAUACGUAUGUAGAGGUGAAAUGUUCAUUUUAAUAAUUAAAGUUUAUAAGUCUUUUCAAAAAGUGCUGUUACAGAAUAUGCUGUUCGUGCCCAUCCCGCCUGUUUCUUCUUAGGCCCUGUACUCACAUAGAUGAUGGUGAGCUCUCUUUCUUGCAUGUAGUGCAGGUGGGGAGCAGGGAAGGGCACAGACUUGUUUGAAAUCAAAGAAUACAGUCGGCCCAUUCCCGAUUUGGUGGCUGCUGCCGUGGCAGAAUGUGCUAUGAAGUGCAUAAAACAAGUUCUUCAUACGCGCACCCUAAUCGCUCACGCUCCCCUCUGCCCUGCGUGCUGUGAGCGCACCAGACCGCCACACUCUGCAGGCCCAGCUCAGCUCGUUGCACCAGGUUGCCUUUCCUAGUCCUGUCAAUCCAUAGUUGAGUGUGAGUUGCUGAAUUAGCUGCUAUUCUAUAUGGAGUCACAAUUAAGCUUUUUCUUACCCUUUUCUAUGGGGAAGCUGUAGGGUGAGUAAGGAGGAAAUUGAGUGCUUAUACUUUGCUGAAAAUAUUAGAACUUUCCUCUGACAGUAUACAGCAAAUUGUAAUUAAAUAUAAACCAGAACCAGAGCUACCUCUAAGUAGUGUUUCCUCAAGCACAAAGCUCUCAGGCAUAUGAGACCCACUUUAACGGAGGGUCUCUGAUUUCUCAAGCAUCAGCGAGUUUCAGAAGCAACUGUCUUUUGUACUCUUCUAAGUUCCCUUGUAACUACACACUUUCCCCCAUUCCACACUGUGCUUAAAUGACAAAGACUCUUCUGAGAAGCCAAAUUCUGUCAAACGAUUAGCUAGAGAUAGUGUUGAUUAAAGGAAAACCUAGAACUGAGGUGAAAGAGGAGAGUUAGUUCUAGCUCUAAUAGUCUUCUGAUUAAAUAAAUUAAUUCUUUUCUGGGAAAUGAUCUUUUAUAGGAAAUGGGAUAUUUUAAAUGCUUACGUUUAAGGCACAGCAGUUAAUGCCUCUAUUGUUGCUUUUCUGUGGCUGACAUGGUUUUGAUACAGCUUUACAAUUUCUGCUACUAAGCUUUCGUAGAAUGUUAUACCAGUUUUAAAUGUUGGCUGCAGCUUUUCGUGAUCCUUCUUUGAUUUGCAGUGUAAUAACUUCACAAGCUAAAUGUUCAGAAGGAAUUUUGUUUCAGAUUAUGCCUCUUGUCUACUUGGGAGCAAUGUGUCUUUUCAAUCAUGGGAUUGACAAAUGAAAAAUAAAGUUGUUUCUUAAUCUA